CUACCCUUGACAUCGAGAGAACUUUCCAGAGAUGGAUUGGUGCCUUCGGGAACUCUCAGACAGGUGCUGCAUGGCUGUCGUCAGCUCGUGUUGUGAAAUGUUGGGUUAAGUCCCGUAACGAGCGCAACCCUUGUCCCUAUUUGCCAGCGAUUCGGUCGGGAACUCUAGGGAGACUGCCGGUGACAAACCGGAGGAAGGUGGGGACGACGUCAAGUCAUCAUGGCCCUUACGGGUAGGGCUACACACGUGCUACAAUGGCCGGUACAAAGGGUUGCGAAGCCGCGAGGUGGAGCUAAUCCCGAAAAGCCGGUCUCAGUCCGGAUCGGAGCCUGCAACUCGACUCCGUGAAGUCGGAAUCGCUAGUAAUCGUGAAUCAGAAUGUCACGGUGAAUACGUUCCC
This 400-nucleotide ribosomal RNA is filed under the name uncultured bacterium. Its description in RNAcentral is "bacterial SSU rRNA". It matches the Rfam family "Bacterial small subunit ribosomal RNA", at positions 975 to 1375 of the family's 1533-position model. The record is from RNAcentral.